Molecule: non-coding RNA, 91 nt
Filed under: Stenotrophomonas maltophilia D457
Lineage: Bacteria; Pseudomonadati; Pseudomonadota; Gammaproteobacteria; Lysobacterales; Lysobacteraceae
Also listed under: 1 other name
Source: RNAcentral
CUCUAUGGCGGACGGUGCGUGGGGGCCUCGCGCCCGCCGGUUUGGUGGCUACCGUUCCCGGUAUUGCAACCACGCAUCGUCCGCCACCUUC